This 526-nucleotide long non-coding RNA is filed under the name Homo sapiens (human). RNAcentral describes it as "non-protein coding LINC01349:3". Lineage: Eukaryota; Metazoa; Chordata; Mammalia; Primates; Hominidae. The record is from RNAcentral.
UGAGUAUAGGAAGUUCCUGCUGCAAUGUCAGAAGUCCAGGCUCCUUUUCUUGGAAGAAAGACCAUGUGAAGAAGCGUGUUGUCAGAUGUGAUGAAGAAGCCAUUGCGGAUACUCAGCCCUGUUGAGACUUCACAUGGCUCCAGCCUCAGCAGCUAUAUGACCACAACAGCACGAGAGACCCCAAAUGAGGACUGCCCAGAUGAGUUCAUUUACCCUGCAAAACUAAGAGGGAUAAUACUAAUGAAGCGUUGCCUCAAGCCACUAAGUUUUACCCUGAUGGGAACCAUCAAGCAGAACCUUCUGGACCUGUACUUCCGAGUUCACUAGGGCUGGGAGAACUCAGCCCAGGGAUCAGCAACGCAUGUACGAGUCUCUCCAGAAGAGACAUAACACUGACUGUAUGCUCUACAACUAACUAAUCUUCAGUUUGCAGAAGAGGAAACUAAAGGACAGGAAGUUGGCUGAUUCCUACAAUGAGCAGAAGUUACAGCAAAGGUCAAUGCCAGGACUGAGUUCCCUGUUUUUC